Molecule: ribosomal RNA, 497 nt
Filed under: uncultured bacterium
Lineage: Bacteria
Description: partial 16S ribosomal RNA
Rfam family: Bacterial small subunit ribosomal RNA
Source: RNAcentral
GAUGAACGCUGGCGGCGUGCCUAAUACAUGCAAGUCGAGCGAACAGACGAGGAGCUUGCUCCUCUGACGUUAGCGGCGGACGGGUGAGUAACACGUGGAUAACCUACCUAUAAGACUGGGAUAACUUCGGGAAACCGGAGCUAAUACCGGAUAAUAUAUUGAACCGCAUGGUUCAAUAGUGAAAGACGGUUUUGCUGUCACUUAUAGAUGGAUCCGCGCCGCAUUAGCUAGUUGGUAAGGUAACGGCUUACCAAGGCAACGAUGCGUAGCCGACCUGAGAGGGUGAUCGGCCACACUGGAACUGAGACACGGUCCAGACUCCUACGGGAGGCAGCAGUAGGGAAUCUUCGGCAAUGGGCGAAAGCCUGACGGAGCAACGCCGCGUGAGUGAUGAAGGUCUUCGGAUCGUAAAACUCUGUUAUUGGGGAAGAACAAAUGUGUAAGUAACUAUGCACGUCUUGACGGUACCUAAUCAGAAAGCCACGGCUAACUACGUG